Molecule: ribosomal RNA, 309 nt
Filed under: Triticum aestivum (bread wheat)
Lineage: Eukaryota; Viridiplantae; Streptophyta; Magnoliopsida; Poales; Poaceae
Description: partial small subunit ribosomal RNA
Source: RNAcentral
AUGGUGACCCCAUCCCUCCGCUCCUUCCUCCCAUCCAUGGCGGCGAGCGAGCCAGCCAAAUCAACCCUUGUUCCCGAAAGCAGCGAAGAGAUGAUCAAGUGUGAGAAGAUCACCAUCAUGGGGGCCGUCACCUGCACCCUCCUGACGGCCUGGAACCUCUCCAAGGGCAAGCCCCACUUCGACGAGCCGCCGGCCUACCCCUACCUCCACAUCCACAACACGGAGUUUCCAUGGGGGACCAAGCAGUGCUGCUGGUUCCUUGAGGCCGGAUCAAGUAAGAUGGUGCACCACGACGUGCGGCACGGGUAA